UACGGAGGGUGCGAGCGUUGUCCGGAAUCACUGGGCGUAAAGGGCGCGUAGGCGGCCGAGCAAGGUCGCGGUGAAAGCCCGGGGCUCAACCCCGGGUCGGCCGUGGCAACUACUCGGCUCGAGCACUGUAGGGGCGGGUGGAAUUCCCGGUGUAGAGGUGAAAUUCGUAGAUAUCGGGAGGAACACCAGUGGCGAAGGCGGCGAUCUGGGAAGAUACUGACGCUGAGGUGCGAAAGCGUGGGGAGCAAACAGG
This 253-nucleotide ribosomal RNA is filed under the name uncultured bacterium. RNAcentral describes it as "partial 16S ribosomal RNA". It matches the Rfam family "Bacterial small subunit ribosomal RNA", at positions 524 to 776 of the family's 1533-position model. The record is from RNAcentral.